UGGGACAGGGGUGGGGCAGGCAGGGCUUACGUGCAGGGGGGCUCUGUGCCUGGCCCCUGCAGGUCGAGGGAGAGUCCCAGGCCUGACCCUGGCCCCAUCCUCCAGGUCCGGAGCGCCCUGCAGAGGAUGACUGAGAAGAAGGCAGCGGAGGCCUUCCCGGUGGGCAGGCGCGGGCGGAGGGGCGGGGGGCCCUCCCCAUAGCCGGGGUCCUGGCACUGAUUCUCUUUCCUUUCAGGCUUGCUCCAGUCCCGUGGGCCCAGGAUUCCACCCUGGGCCCUCAGGCCCCUGGGAGAUGGCCCGGGACAACCCUGUGGUCUUGGCUCCCCCCCGAAGACACCUGGCUCUUAGAGGAACUCACAGCCCCAGAAACCCCACAACCUUCUCCUCCAUUGCAGAACCCGAGAGACCGGCUGUGGAGCUGACAGCAUUCAAGCCUUCAGGUACAGCUCUCACCCCAGGGGCUCCCUCUUUUCCUCUUGGCGCCCGGAUACCCCCUCAGCCCCACUGUCCCAAAAUGGAAAUGAUUUGAGAAAAAAAACGCACCCAACCUGCCACAAUUUGAGGGGCUCUUCCUAUCACUCGGCUCCUUGUUGGUGCCUGAAAAUCCCCCAUCAGCACCCUGUGGGCGCCGACAGUGAAAAUGCAGGGAUCAGGGGGAGGGGCUUAGUGAGGGAGGAAGUCUGCGACCCCCCCCCAGGCCAGUGCUGCCAGAGAGGCAGCGAGCGAGG
Molecule: long non-coding RNA, 728 nt
Filed under: Sus scrofa (pig)
Lineage: Eukaryota; Metazoa; Chordata; Mammalia; Artiodactyla; Suidae
Description: lncRNA (ENSSSCG00015037951.1)
Source: RNAcentral